UACGUAGGUGGCAAGCGUUGUCCGGAUUUACUGGGUGUAAAGGGCGUGUAGGCGGGCUUUUAAGUCAUAUGUGAAAUACCGGGGCUCAACUCCGGAACUGCAUCUGAAACUGGAAGUCUUGAGUACUGGAGGGGAAAGUGGAAUUCCUAGUGUAGCGGUGAAAUGCGUAGAGAUUAGGAGGAACACCAGUGGCGAAGGCGGCUUUCUGGACAGUAACUGACGCUGAGGCGCGAAAGCGUGGGGAGCAAAC
Molecule: ribosomal RNA, 250 nt
Filed under: uncultured bacterium
Lineage: Bacteria
Description: partial 16S ribosomal RNA
Rfam family: Bacterial small subunit ribosomal RNA
Source: RNAcentral